This is a non-coding RNA of Dermacentor andersoni, 2136 nucleotides long. Lineage: Eukaryota; Metazoa; Arthropoda; Arachnida; Ixodida; Ixodidae. The record is from RefSeq and is a predicted model, not a curated record.
GCGUUAAUUGUAAACGGCCCUGUCGCAGUACAGAAAAAAUCGUCAAACGAACUAAGCGCAGGCGACUCGUGGACUGUACAGUUCUAGGAAACAUUUCAGUUGAAUGUUUUCACUGGGGAGGGUGAAAGAAGCGAUUAUACGAAGGCGAAUUGUGAAGAGAUGUCAAAAUCUGCAAUUUUUCUAGCUAUUGUCGAUUCGUCUAAGAAUAAUUAAGGCUGCAUGCCAAUCAAUGUAAAUCAUAAAAUAGAGCAUUUCUGCUGUCGACGUGGAUUUGAUUGGGAAGAACUAGAGUUAGAUCAAAUUCUUCCAAUUUUCGCUCAAUUAACUAAUGACGUUCAACAAUCAAGCAGUUAAGAAUUAAUAAAUUCAUGGUAUAUCAUGAGUGUUUUUUCAAGCGCCGUCUCCUGUGAAGCAUAUCUACCAUUUUCGUGCAAAGCUCUCUGGAAAGCGUAUUGACUGUGUAUGCAUGCAUGCAUCUAUCGAACUUCGUGCACAUAUAGACGUGAUGCUUUGACGAUAAAUACUUAUUAAAAUUCAAAUUAUUUAUUUCUGCCUUGUAAAGGUACAGACAGCAGAGGCGCAGAAAAAGCUGUCAGAUACAGAUUGACAAAGCCGCAGCCCCCUUUCGCUUGGCAGAGCCUUCACAGCGACACUUUUAAAACAAAGACAAUUGCACCCGGUAAUAACAGGUAUACAAUACUGAGCAAGUACAAAAGGAAACCAAUCAAGAUUAUACGAUAUUUGUACAAUACUCCCAAACAAGAAAACAGAACCUACAUGCUAACGUACAUAGCACCCAAAGUACUGUUCGACACGUUGAAGAAGUCAAAAUUAUUGUUCACAUAAGGUAUAUACAUAUUCGUAUAGCGCUACCAAUCCCUGCAAAAUAUAGAACGCAGAUUUUCAUUACACACACGCACGCACGCACGUGCACAGCACACACACCAAAAGGAAACGGCAACGCGCUCACAGGAAGCGCCUGAAAAACGAAAAAAAAAGGAAAAGUGUGGGGAACCGAGGUCGUCUUGGGCUGUCGCCUCUCCCUCUCCCAGAAGGAAUGAAGAGGUUCUUGGAAAGCAGGGACGGGCGAUUCUCUCUGUCAGCAUCAGCUCCCACCAGCGAGGACGGGGCGAGAAAGCGAAACGGGACUUUCCUUGCUGUCUAUUUUUUCUUCGUCAGGCCAACGCCGCUUGCUUGCAGGGGCGCAGGCGAGUUCCCGCCAAAUGGCGCGGGUGCGUGAGUUGCCGCCAAAUGCUAGCUCUGGAUGCCAGCUCGUUCCGCGUCUCAUGGUAGACUAGUUGGUGCAUUUCUGUUAUCAUGGACUGCGCAUAUAAACGCAAGCUACACAAAAGUGACAUGGACAAGAACAGCGCAAGCCCUUUACAUGCAGUGGAGCCGCCGUAUCUCGCCGUUCAAGAUAUGCGUACUCGAAAAAAAAAAAAGAGGCUUUACAUGAGAACGGAUCAAGCGUUCGAGAGUUGGGACAGGGAAAUGUGAGACGUACGUAUGUAUAUAUUUCUAAUAUUAUUUUUUCGUCUUGUAUUCUCGUUAAUUUUUCUCUAGGAAACACUGGAACGACACUGCUUAAAUUGAAGCACAGUGUGCGAAUGACCUGCUACGCUCGGAACUGUUAUCACCAUUCGGGAAGAAAUUGGGUAAGAAUGGAUUGUGUGUGGCGCGCUUCACCGCAUGUGGACUAGAGUAGAUCUAGGAACAUCAGACAAGAAGACACGUAUGUGAAACCCUGCGGAUAGCCCAUAUGUGAACUUUUUUUCCAGAUACGGAGGAACGGACACCGGUCAUGCCGUGAGCACUCUUCUGCAGGGCAUACUUACAAAUGAAGCUGCACUGCAGUUCAGCUGGAAAGGGUCGCAGGGGAGGAAGCACGCCUUCGUGAAGCUCAUGGCCAUCACGAAUAUAACAUCUGUGAGGAGCACGUUCCCUGACGCUUCACUAGCAUCAGUGGCUGGAGUCGCAAAACGCUGGUUGGUUGGAGCAGCUGACAGGGAUGGAGGCCGGAAUGAAAGAAGGCGCCGUGACCCUGCUUCAAGCCCACCAAAUAUGAACUAGUGUUUGAAACUUGUGAACGUGUCGGUGUACAUAUACAAUUACAAGAAAUAAAGACCUGUAUCAGAA